CUACCUCACCUGUCCCCCUCAUCAGAUGUCAACUAGACUACUAGGCUUUCCACCGCAUAGAAAGAAAUCAUUGAGUUUCAGCUCUUUCUCCAAACAUCUCCUCCCUUUCCCUUUCCCAGACCCAGACAGGGGCACACACACAGACCGGCGACCGACCACGCUAUCUAGCCAACCAUUAAGUGUGUGUGUGAGGAAGUGUGUGUGUUUUUUUUUCUUUGAGUAGAAAGAAUGAAGUAAGGAAAAGAAGUUAGUGGGUAUUUGCACUCUGUGCCCGUGUUUGGUAACCCAGGAUCCCUUUAAAAUAAUUUCACUUGACGGUGAAACCUGGAAGUGGAAAGUUUAUAACUGUGAAAAGUCACAGGACUUGGGUUGCCAUGGGGUGUUGGUGGUGCUGGCUACUGGUAACCUUGCUAUGGGUUUCCACGAUAACAAACCCAUGCCUUGGCCAGAGUGGUGACAGUAGCGACUGGGGCUCGGGCUUCGAUGUCUCCAUGACGACCCUCAGCAGCAACAAGAACACGUCCUCCUCCCAGGAGCCAGGAGAUUACCCUGCGGGUUCAGAAACAGAGACAAGAGAAUCCUGGGUAAAAAUACUUCCACCUAAGCCAGUGUUCCACUACAAGCCGGAGCCAGAUGAGUGCUCUGUCCACUUCAGCACCAGUCAGGCUUCCGCCAGGCGCCUCAAGGCCCAGAGAGAAGAGUUGGCCUACCUGAAGGCUAUACAGCAUGGGAACCAGGCGGUGGUGGAGAACCUAGUCCAGUACAUAGGAGCAGAGCUGGGGGAUGAGCAGCGCUACGAGGACGUCAUCGAGGAAAACAUAGUGGGCAUCAGGGAGGAGCAGCAGAGCUGUAACGGUGUGGUCCAGAAGGUGAUGGAGGAUCUGGAGGGACAGCUGGAAGGAGAUGUACUGGAGGCUCUGACUGGGAUACGGAAGUAAGUACAUGGAUGAAACCAGUUAGUUAAUACAUCUCAAUCUGUCACAGUCUAUUAUUAUAAUAAAUCCAUUAAUGUAAUGCGUGUCUGAGACUUAAACACCCAAAAGAGCAAACAUAGAGCAAGGAAAAACCUCGACACAGCCAUCCUCCUCUGGUCUGCCACUGAGAGGACCAUGCCAUAGACUGGACAGGCAGCCAGAGAGGAACAGAGACAUUCACAUACUGUAUUAGUGUGAUCUAAUCUACUGAGAGACAGGAUCUCCUCCCGGCUCAUUGAUUAGUUUAUACAGAGCUCUAUUAACAGUCACCUUAGCAACCACUGUUUUCCCCCGGUCCAUUAACGGGCACCUUAUUAACUCAGACUCUCUGUUCUUCCCAGACAUUCACAACCCUACUGUGUCCUCAUCAGAACCAAGAUGUGGCCUGGGUCUGAGUGAUGUAUUUACCUUAAUAACCAUCAUCAAGGCCUCUCUGCGGUUUAAUUACUAAUCAAAGAGGAGUCCCUAACGUUUGAGGGCCUCUUCCAGGCAGCAGCAGACAUCGCCAAGGGGCUGGAUACCUUGUCUCAGACCCUCCACGCCUCCUUCACCAAACAGCUCAAAGACUCUCUCAAAACUUUACAUCGCUAAAGAGACUUACUAUCCUCCAUCGCUAAGGAGAUUGUCUGGUCUCAGAUCUGUUUGUGCGGUCUCUCCAGUUCCUAUGGUCCUUGCUAUCACUCUUUUGUAGCCUGGUCUCAGAUCUGUUUGUGCUGUCUCUCCAGUUCCUAUGGUCUUUGCUGUGACUAUUUUGUAGCCUGGUCUCAGAUCUGUUUGUGCAAGAGAGCACAAACAGCUAUUGGACCAGGCAACUAAGGCCUAGAUUAAAUUAGAUCAAGUGUAAAGCGGCAAUAGCCGACACCCACAUAGCUGAUGUUUUGGCGGUGUCGGAGGUGUAACUACUCAUAAAUCGGUGAGCAGCAGCUCAUGUGAUCAUUGUCAUGAAGUUCAGAACAAUAAAGUAUAGGCUAUAUAGAAAUAAUUACACUGAAACUAAAAAAAUCAUUCAAUUAUGUCAUGAAGAUUUAUAUUAGACUAACCGAGGUGUAGAUUAGAUCUCAAACUCCAAUGUUCGAAAUUUCCCUUAAUGUGACUCUGUGCAGCCAAUUGCAAUGUCCACUUUAGGUAUAAAUCUGGGAGCCGCUUGUGGAUUUGACAGUUCUAAUGCAUUCCACCUCUGCCGCCGCCAAAACAACCGCUAUGAGGAUGUCUGCUAGCGCAGAUCUGAUAGAAUCUAUCCCUAAGAAGAACUCUCUCCUCUUCUUCUCUCCAUCCUACUCUACUUCCCUCCCUCCUACUCUUCUUCUGCCCCUCCUACUAUUCUUCUCUCCCUCCUACUUCCCUCCUACUCUUCUUCAAUCCCUCCUACUCUUCUUCACUCCCUCCUACUCUUCUUCUCCCCCUCCUACUCCUCUUCUCUCCCUCCUACUCUUCAUUCCUCUUACACUUCUUCUCUCCCUCCUACUUUUCUUCCCUCCCUUCUACUCUUCUUCUCCCCCUCCUACUCUUCUUCUCUCCCUCCUACUUCCCUCCUACUCUUCUUCUCUCCCUACUACUCUUCUUCUCGCCCUCCUACCCUUCUUCCCCCUCCUACUUCCCUCCUACUCUUCUUCUCUCCCUACUACUCAUCUUCUCACCCUCCUACUCUUCUUCCCUCCUACACUUCUUCCCUCCCUCCUACUCUUCUUCCCUUCUACUCUUCUUCUCUCCCUCCUACUCUUCUUCGCUCCCUUCUACUCUUCUUCUCCCCUCCUACUCUUCUCUCCCUCCUACUUCCCUCCUAAUCUUCUUCUCUCCCUCCUACUUUUCUUCCCCCCUCCUACUUCUCUCCUACUCAUCUUCCCUCCCUCCUACUCUUCUUCCCUCCCUCCUACUCUUCUUCUCUCCCUCCUACUCUUCUUCCCUCCCUCCUACUCUUCUUCUCUCCCUCCUACUCUUCUUCUCUCCCUCCUUCUCUUCUUCUCUCCCUACUACUCUUCUUCCCUCCCUCCUACUCUUCUUCUCUCCCUCCUACUCUUCUUCCCUCCCUCCAACUAUUCUUCCCUCCCUCCUUCGCUUCUCCUUCCCUCCUUCAGGCUACUACAACCUUCAACAUCUGUGUCUCUUGUCAAAACCUAAAUCUCUCUGGUCUGAACCUAGAGAUGUGUAGUGCUCUACUAAACAGAUGCUCUGACAGGAAUGUUCUUUCUGCUCAGUGUACUUUAAGUGAACCGUGAGAGGGCUGACAGAGCUAUGGAAUAAUUGGUAGAGGAUUUAUGCUGAGAUUUUGGACCACAGAUUUGUAAUGAACAGUCACUGUACUGUACUGUACCGUAGCUGUUUAAUACAGUAGCACUCACGUGUGACCAAAUGCUAUCAUAGACAAAACGCCAAGUCAGUACUUUUUCUGUUUACAAUUAUUCCAAAAAACAUUAAGUUGUUCAUACUGAGCAGUUCAGCAUAUAAUUAUAUCAUAGUAUGUAAUGUAUUUCAAACCAGAUUUUCCAUCCAGUAAAUUGCUAUUAUUACUGGAAUUUUAUGCCAGUUGGAAGUUUUGAAACAAAAUAUAUUUGUUUACGUCCCAAACUGCACUUUAUUCCCUGCAUGGUGCACUACUGUUGACCAAAGCCCUAUGGGCCCUGUUCAGAAGGGCACUAUAUCAGGAAAAGGGUGGGAUUUGUGACACAAACUCUAUUUCAGUCAUAGUAGUACGGGCAGCUCUGGUUAGCCUUAGUAUUAUGGUACAUCUGUAUUGGUCUCUCUAGGUACCAGGGUAGUAUGGUCUGUCUGUAUUGGUCUGUCUAGGUACCAGGGUAGUAUGGUCUGUCUGUAUUGGUCUGUCUAGGUACCAGGGUAGUAUGGUCUGUCUGUAUUGGUCUCUCUAGGUACCAGGGUAGUAUGGUCUGUCUGUAUUGGUCUCUCUAGGUACCAGGGUAGUAUGGUCUGUCUGUAUUGGUCUCUCUAGGUACCAGGGUAGUAUGGUCUGUCUGUAUUGGUCUGUCUAGGUACCAGGGUAAGGGUGGAGACCAGGAUAAGUUCAGGGCAGACGCUUGAAGGGAGGUUCUCCUCUCUUGUUCUAUGAAAGCAGAAGCCUGGAAUACACCCUGAUCUGUUGUUUUAUCAGUGAAAAUACACAAGUGUAAUUAGAGUGAUAUUCAGCUCAAAUAUCAGCUCAAAUUCCAGGUUUGAAAACCAAAGUGUUCAUUUGCAAAUAAAGGGAAUUGUGUACAAGUGCAAUGGGACUUUAUCUAGCUGGGUUAUAUUUGAAAGGGUAUGUUAUGCUGUGAGGAAAAUAUGUUUUUCAGAGACAUUUAUAUUGUAUGCAGUGAGUUGGUGAGGAAAGGGGCAGCCAGGCGUGGGGUGAUUGUGACUUUGACCCCCAUUCCUUGUCAGAGUUCAAACGACAACCCAAUGCUGUUGAAUGGGUUGGAAACAUAGGCUACAUCCUAAAUGGCAGCCUAGUCCCUAUAUAGUGCACUACUUUAGAGCAGAGCCCUAUGGCAUCCUAUUCCUUAUAUAUAGUGCACUACUUUAGACAGAGCCCUUUGGCACCCUAUUCCCUAUAUAGUGCACUACUUUAGACCAGCGCUCUAUGGCACCCUAUUCCCUAUAUAGUGCACUACUUUAGACCAGAGCCCUAUAGCACCCUAUUCCCUAUAUAGUGCACUACUUUGGACCAGGACCCAAGUAUAGAGUGUCAUUUGGUAUGCAACUACACACAGCCCUAAUCUGAAGUAUACAAAACCAAUUAGGCUUUAUAUAGAUGGGUUCCACUGGGAUAAUGUUGUGUAUGGUUACAGCGGGUAAUGUUGUGUAUGGUUACAAGGGGUAAUGUUGUGUAUGGUUACAGGGGGUAAUGCUGUGUAUGGUUACAGUGGGUAAUGUUGUGUAUGGUUACAGGGGGUAAUGUUGUGUAUGGUUACAAGGGGUAAUGUUGUAUGGUUACAGGGGGUAAUGUCGUGUAUUGUUACAGGGGGUAAUGCUGUGUAUGGUUACAGUGGGUAAUGUAGUGUAUGGUUACAGGGGGUAAUGUUGUGUAUGGUUACAAGGGGUAAUGUUGUAUGGUUACAGGGGGUAAUGUCGUGUAUUGUUACAGGGGGUAAUGCUGUGUAUGGUCACAGCGGGUAAUGUAGUGUAUGGUUACAGGGAGUAAUGUUGUGUAUGAUUACAAGGGGUAAUGUUGUGUAUGGUUACAGGGAGUAAUGCUGUGUAUGGUCACAGCGGGUAAUGUAGUGUAUGGUUACAGCGGGUAAUGUAGUGUAAGGUUAUCAGGGAUACUGUUGUGUAUGGUUAAAGGGGGUAAGGACGUGUAUGGUUACAGGGAGUAAUGUUGUAUGGCUACAGGGGGUAAUGUUGUAUGGUUACAGUGGGUAAUGUUGUAUGGUUACAGGGGGUAAUGUUGUAUGGUUACAAGGGGUAAUGUUGUAAAGGAAACAUAGUACUACCAUGAGUUGGUGGGGAGGCCAUGGUGGUUAUUGCGUGAGUUACUUUGACCCCCGUCCCUUUAAGAGAUCAAACAACGACAUGAGAUAAUUCAUCUCCUAGUCCAAUUCAGUGGGAGUUCCAACUUUACUCUAUAUCAGUUUCUGUUCUGUCCCUAGUUCUCUUUCUGUCGUAGAAAGACGUACUUGUUGUUGCAGUCUUUUAUGGGCGAUGCCACCACCCUUUCUUUUUUAGGACCGUAUGUUUUUAAUGUUGUAAUUAUGAAACGAUAAAGACAAAACAUGUUAUGUCAAAAUGUAGUAUACUUAUAAAAAAAUGUUUAACUAAAAUGUAAUCUAUGUAAUCCCCAAAGGGCCAUAAAUAUUAACUAGUGAUGCUACAUAUUCACAGAAAGGUUCAAAUCUCACCUUUCUGGUAAAAAAAUAGUUGUAAAUUGCUGAGGUGUAGUCACUUUAAGACACAAGCUCAAGUAUACAGUACAAAUAUGAUACAUAUUUUAUAUUACGUAAUUCCUUUUCAACAAAACUGUAUGAAUAAGUCUUGAAAUGACUUAUAUGCUUUCUAAAUAUAUUAUAAUCAAAUUAUAAAACCUCUAAGUAUAAGAUAGUACCUUCCUUAUAACUGUAAAAUACAUAUUUGUAUGUUUAGUGUUAGAGAAAAUGUGCACAUUUUCUAAAAGUAUUUUCUUUUGUUUAAAACAAGCUCUAGCUUGGCCUUCCUGAACUCGUUAGUAACUCGCCUUUCAUCUCACAUUCAUAUGACAAAUCUGUGAAAAAACAACGUUGUUUUUUUUGUUGUUUAAAAUCUAUGAAUUAUUUUAGAUGAAUGGCUGUAAAUCAAUCUCUGAUGAAACCACUCUCUACUGCUGUGCUACGAUGUCAGGAUUUCAGUCAUGUGUUUUGUCAGUUGCUGUGACGUAAGGUUCAGCCAGGAGGUGAUGGACAGUCGGAAGAGUGAAUGAAGGACAUCCCAGUGUCAAGUGGUUUCAGAUUUCACAUCCUACAUUGCACAGGCUCAGAAAAUAUACUACUGUGUCCGUGGGAACAAGGACUGUCGUUCACAGCAAGCCAUUUCCAUAUACGUUGUCUACAUAUCGAUUUAUAAGUGAAAAUGUUGGUUGGAACCGGUACCAGAACAACACAGGUCCCCCAAACAGGGGACUUUACAUCAGUAUAGGCCAUAGGUUUACAUUACAGUGUUGUUUUAUUUAAUCCAGAUGAAAAUAAAGUUGUAC
RNAcentral lists this long non-coding RNA (6630 nucleotides) under Salmo salar (Atlantic salmon). RNAcentral describes it as "lncRNA (ENSSSAG00000091119.1, ENSSSAG00000113262.1)". The record is from RNAcentral. Lineage: Eukaryota; Metazoa; Chordata; Actinopteri; Salmoniformes; Salmonidae.